RNAcentral lists this long non-coding RNA (782 nucleotides) under Homo sapiens (human). RNAcentral describes it as "HSALNT0317877". Lineage: Eukaryota; Metazoa; Chordata; Mammalia; Primates; Hominidae. The record is from RNAcentral.
CCGCUCUCCAACUUGGUGCCUGGAGCCACUGUCACAUGGAACCUAUGCACUGCGGGCAGGCGGGGCAAGAGGGCAUCACGGGCGGGCAGGCUGUGUGGCUCCAUCACAGAAGGGGAAACCGAGGCUCAGGGAUCCCCCAGCCUCCAGUUCGGGUGUGGAGAGUCUGGAGUCUGUAUCGAGGCCCCAGCCUGGCCACGGGAACCUCAGGGCACCACCGGCCCUCUCUCCAUCCAGGUCAGCACACCAGGCAGACAGCAGCCUCCCCACCAGGGGCCCCACCUGCUCCAUCUCCAACCCCCAGAGCCAAAGGGACCCCUGUUCCCAUCCCACCUCCCCCUUCUCUGCCUCCUCUACCUGCUCCAAGCUGUGGCCUCAGGCGCAUCCUUGUCAGGCCACGUUCUAUCAAGAUGAAGCUGCCUGGGCGGUGCCCAGCGGCCUCUGUGCCAUGGCCCUGCGCCAGCGGAUGAAGGAAGCAGACCCAUGCCGCUGAGCCAGGCUGGAGGGAACCCCCAACGGGAGAACUUUCUGGAAAGAUGCAGUUCUUCCCUCCUAAUGUCUCCUUCCCCUGCGCCCUCCUGCAGAGCCAACCGCACCUCCUCCCACUAAGCCCCCAGCUUCUCUCUCCCCACUCAAUGGAGCAGGAGGGGCUGCUGCCUUGGGGACAAGACUGGGGGAGCGGGACACUCACCUCCAAGGCCAAAGAACUCAGCCAUCAAGGGCCAGGAUAUUUUAAUCAAUAUUUUAAAAAGUAAAGUUAUGCAGAGUCCAUGCUGAUCAAAAUA